Molecule: ribosomal RNA, 845 nt
Filed under: uncultured eukaryote
Lineage: Eukaryota
Description: SSU rRNA
Rfam family: Eukaryotic small subunit ribosomal RNA
Source: RNAcentral
GCGACUUGUACUGUGAAACUGCGAAUGGCUCAUUAAAUCAGUUAUGGUUUAUUUGAUGGUACCUUACUACUUGGAUAACCGUAGUAAUUCUAGAGCUAAUACAUGCAGGAAGUCCCGACUUCGGAAGGGAUGUAUUUAUUAGAUAAGAAACCAAUCCGGUCUUCCGGUUGCGUGCUGAGUCACAAUAACUUUUCGAAUCGCAUGGCCUUGCGCCGGCGAUGGUUCAUUCAAAUUUCUGCCCUAUCAGCUUUCGAUGGUAGGAUCGAGGCCUACCAUGGCGUUUACGGGUAACGGAGAAUUAGGGUUCGAUUCCGGAGAGGGAGCCUGAGAAAUGGCUACCACAUCCAAGGAAGGCAGCAGGCGCGUAAAUUGCCCGAAUCCUGACACAGGGAGGUAGUGACAAGAAAUAACAAUACAGGGCUACAUUAGUCUUGUAAUUGGAAUGAGUACAAUUUACAACUCUUAACGAGGAUCAAUUGGAGGGCAAGUCUGGUGCCAGCAGCCGCGGUAAUUCCAGCUCCAAUAGCGUAUAUUAAUGUUGUUGCAGUUAAAACGCUCGUAGUCGGAUUUCGGGGCGGGGUUGCUGGUCUGCCGUUGGGUAUGCACUGGUGACCGCGUCCUUCCUUCCGGAGACCGUCCCUACUCUUAACUGAGCGGGGGCGGGAGACGGAUCUUUUACUUUGAAAAAAUCAGAGUGUUUCAAGCAGGCAUAUCGCUUUUGCAUGGAUUAGCAUGGGAUAAUGAAAUAGGACUUUGGUGCUAUUUUGUUGGUUUCGAACACCGAAGUAAUGAUUAACAGGGACAGUCAGGGGCACUAAUAUUCCGUUGAGAGAGGUGAAAUUCUU